Molecule: unclassified non-coding RNA, 318 nt
Filed under: plant metagenome
Description: partial contains 5.8S ribosomal RNA, internal transcribed spacer 2, and large subunit ribosomal RNA
Rfam family: 5.8S ribosomal RNA (bases 1-105)
Source: RNAcentral
GAAAUGCGAUAAGUAAUGUGAAUUGCAGAAUUCAGUGAAUCAUCGAAUCUUUGAACGCACAUUGCGCCCGCCAGAAUUCUGGCGGGCAUGCCUGUUCGAGCGUCAUUUCAACCCUCGAGCUCCCCUUUCGGGAGGAGCCCGGCGUUGGGGACCCGGCGCUAACAACGCCGGCCCCGAAAUGGAGUGGCGGCCCGUCCGCGGCGACCUCUGCGUAGUAACAACCACUCGCACCGGGACCCGGGCGCGGCCACGCCGUAAAACACCCCACCUUCCGAAUGUUGACCUCGAAUCAGGUAGGAAUACCCGCUGAACUUAAGC